This 923-nucleotide ribosomal RNA is filed under the name Clostridioides difficile. RNAcentral's name for it is "partial 23S ribosomal RNA". It matches the Rfam family "Bacterial large subunit ribosomal RNA", at positions 534 to 1465 of the family's 2925-position model. Lineage: Bacteria; Bacillati; Bacillota; Clostridia; Peptostreptococcales; Peptostreptococcaceae. The record is from RNAcentral.
GGGAGUGAAAUAGAACCUGAAACCCUGCACUUACAAGCUGUGGAAGCACAUUUCUUGUGUGACCGCGUACUUUUUGUAGAACGGGCCAACGAGUUACGUUAAGUAGCAAGGUUAAGCACUUAAGGUGUGGAGCCGUAGCGAAAGCGAGUUUUAACUGAGCGUUCAGUUACUUGACGUAGACCCGAAACCGGGCGACCUACCCAUGAGCAGGAUGAAGCGAAAGUAAAAUUUCGUGGAGGUCCGAACCCACGAGCGUUGAAAAGCUCGGGGAUGACUUGUGGGUAGCGGUGAAAUUCCAAUCGAGCCCGGAGAUAGCUGGUUCUCCCCGAAAUAGCUUUAGGGCUAGCCUCAAGGUGAGAGAUACGGAGGUAGAGCACUGAAUGUCCUAGGGGGUAUUGCACCUACCGAAGACUAUCAAACUCCGAAUGCCGUCAUCUUAUACUUGGGAGUCAGACUGUGGGUGAUAAGAUUCAUAGUCGAAAGGGCAACAGCCCAGAUCGUCAGCUAAGGUCCCUAAAUGUAAGUUAAGUGGUAAAGGAUGUGGGAUUGCACAGACAACCAGGAUGUUGGCUUAGAAGCAGCCACUCAUUCAAAGAGUGCGUAAUAGCUCACUGGUCGAGUGAUCCUGCGCCGAAGAUUUCCGGGGCUAAAACUUACUACCGAAGCUACGGCAUCAGUAAUGAUGGGUAGGGGAGCUUCCCAUACGGGUUGAAGCAUGACCGUAAGGACAUGUGGACAGUAUGGGAGUGAGAAUGUUGGCAUGAGUAGCGAGAUGUGGGUGAGAAUCCCACAGGCCGUAAACCCAAGGUUUCCAGGGGAAGGUUCGUCCGCCCUGGGUUAGUCGGGACCUAAGCUGAGGCCGAAAGGCGUAGGUGAUGGACAACAGGUUGAUAUUCCUGUACUACCGAUAACCGUUUGAGAGA